This is a non-coding RNA of Doryrhamphus excisus (bluestripe pipefish), 720 nucleotides long. The record is from RefSeq and is a predicted model, not a curated record. NCBI's taxonomy places the organism in Eukaryota, Metazoa, Chordata, Actinopteri, Syngnathiformes, Syngnathidae.
CAGUUCAUAAUCAGACUCAAUCAUGGUCAGGUGAGCUGAUUUGCAGGGCAAAGAACUAGAGUUAGGAGGAUCAUGUGGGAAAGAUGGCGAUGUAGUGAAUUUUAAGGAGGGACAGGAAAUGCAUGGGAGUGAAUGGCGAUAUAAAAAGCAUAUCCGUGUGCUUACAUGUCAUUCAACUCGUUUGCUGUUACAUUGUCAGCAUGCAGUUGGUUGCUUGUGGACACCAAAGUCCCUAGCUAUGGUGCUCCUUAUAAAACAUGUCCUCCAUUGGCGACACCUUGUAGUGGUAAUAAUUCAUUGAGUUAAGGUGACACAAAUUGAAUGAUACACGGCAUAAUGGACACUUUUUGUUAUGGAAUACUUUUUUUUUUUAAUGCGCUUCUGCCUUGGAUAUCCUGUCUAAAUUCACAUAUCACGAUCAGAUCCGGAGUCAUGGAAAUCGCAGUAUACGAGGGCCUCGCCCACACCCUAGCUCCAGUGGCCCCCAGGUAAAUUGAGUUUGAGACCCCUGCUCUAAAGGAAAUGCAGCAGUUUGUUUUGCAGCAGACUAUUAAGGAUAUGUACAUGAAGUCAGGAAAUAUGGCAAGAUGGAUUGUAAACUACAUUAUUGGGGCUGUCACCUUGCAUGGCUGGUAAAAGCAAAGGAAUUUGUAUAAACUGGCCAUGGCCAAUGAUGGAUAACAAAAACUGGAGUGCUUGAGUUGUCACCCAUAUUUUCCA